CGAGGUGUUUCAAGCGACACAAGUUGAGGGUUGUGCAACUGUGGACCAAGGACGUGUGGGGUAUGUUUCCUCUCUUUUUUGUUCCGCUUUGAAAGGGUUGAAGAAGAGACUAAUCAGAGUGUUAUAAAGUUCACAUCCAUGACGAAUAGAAAUCACUGUAACAAGAAUCAUUAUAUGUACUUUUUUUUAAACUAAUCAUAUGGACCAGCAUUCAAAAUCACUCAUAUGGAAAUCAAUUAUAUGAACAAUAAAUCAAGUAGACUCAAUAACUGUGUGGCAUAACUAUCAACGGAGGAGCUAUCACACUAGAUCUAUCUCAAAUAAUCAUUUACUACUUUCAUACAUAAGGACAGCUGAGCCCAGUGCACUAAGCUCCCGCUAUGUGCGAGAUCUGGGGAAAGGCCGGACCACAUUGCAUAGGUAUUUAUAGGUUUUCUUCUAGCAUGUACCUAGUCUAUUACAUGCACAUAAUUCAAUUCCGGAUUUUCUUUCAUCUUCUCUAGUUCAUGAACAAACUAAAACAAUAUAUCUAUCAUAACUAAUUUUCUAUAUAUACAUAUCAAAAAUUAAAAAUAAAAUUAUCUUUCCAACACAAAGUUCACUCCUAUACAUACUUAGAAAAUGUCAUUCCAUAGUAAUAAAUUUUUUAGUUAUUGGAUCCUUGUCAUAAUUAACCAUCAUUUGUUAUUUUUAACAGGUUAACCAACAAGCUUGAUCAACCUUAGCAGCCUACCUUGCCAGUGAUCAUCGCAAUGAUAGUGGCCUGGUAACAUGCUACAAGCUGUGUCGGAUAAAUCGUCGUGUAUAAAUCAAGCUUUUUUCAGAAGAGGUGAUUCUCAACAGUGAGCUGGUGAUUUCUUGAGGAAAAAAGGUUGAACCAGCAGAGGAGCUGUGAGUACCUAUCUCUUACAGGAUAGUUAUUUAAAAAACCUGGAUAUUUGUACUCAGGUUUAAUAUUUAGUUUUCCUCCUUUACAAAAAGUAGGAGGGAAUUUAUCAAGACUAUGAUAUAUGUAAAUCUGAUUAGAUUAGUUCAAAUUGGCCUUAGCAGCUUUUGUAUUGUUCCUGAUAGUAUCAUACAUAGAGCCAGAUUUUCGUUGGCUUUCAUAUAUGUUGUUUUGCCUAGAACAGAGUUUAUUUCUUGACUGCUAAUACUAAAAAAGCGAAACUUUUGCUGAGAUGCAAGUUGUACCCAAGGAGGUUUUGAAACCUCCUUGGAAUGGAAGGUAAGGUUAAGUACAAUAGUCGGUUGUGGUCCUGUCCUUCCCCGGACUUGUGCAUAGAUCGAGCUUAGUGGACUGUGAUGCCUUUUUUAAUCUAGAAUAUAAGUUCUAGUAUUGAAAGUUAAUUGUAUUGGUUCACUAACCUUGUCAAUUAUAUUAGAGGACCAGGAGAAGCAAUUCACAGGGCUUCGUUCUUCUUCAUUCUGAAUCCUGACUCUGGAUUAUCCCAUCCCGCUCUUCCUUUUUUUGAUGCAUAAUUUGCAGGUAGUUCCGUAUCUAUCAAUUCAAUCAAAUAGUCCGAGCAAUUGUCGCCGUUUAUAGAUAUUGAAAUGAACACCUUUCCAUUCUUCCUCCGUUAUUCCUCAUUCUAGAUCCUGAUUCCGGAUUCUCCCAUCCCGUUGUUCCUUUUUGAGAUGCAUGGAAGCAAGCAAUUUGUAGGGGAGAGUCUCUGUAUUUAUCAAUUUGAUCAAAUAAACUGAGCAAUUGUCACUCACCGUCUAUAGAUAUUGAAAUGAACACAUUCCCGUUCUCCUCCGUUCUUCCUCAUUUUAGAUCCUGACUCUCAAUUCUCCCUGAUGCUUAGUUAGCAAGCAAAUUGCAGAGAACAGUUUCAUAUCUAUCAAUUCGAUCAAAUACUCUGAGAAAUUUUCACCGUUUAAAGAUAUUGAAACGAACACCGUCCCAUUCUCCCUCCGUUCUUCCUCAUUCUAGAUCCUGACUCUGGAUUCUCCUCUCCGUUCUUCCUUUUUGAGAUGCAUAGUAGCAAGCAAUUUGCAAGGAAGAGUUUCGUAUAUAUCAAUUCGAUCAAUACCGUUUAUAGAUAUUGAAAUAAAUGCCUUCCCAUUCUUUCUCCGUUCUUCCUCAUCUAACUCUGAAUCCUGGAUAGCAAUUUGCUUGGCUUACACUCCCCUUCGUUUCAACUUCAAACAUCGCAAAUUUUCAGGUUUCAACUUCAUAAUCUACGCCCUUAAAACAUAAUACAAGGACAAAAAAGUGAGAGAUCUGCCUAACCCGUGACACUCUGCUCCAUUGCUUCUGUGUUAUUCAGAGCAACAUUAUCCUCUUUCUGGUGUUGCCUUUAACUAGACAAUAACAGGAACCCCAAACGUCUGUUGAGUUUUUUUUUUUUUCACUUUGAGAAAAAGUUACUGUAUUUCCA
RNAcentral lists this long non-coding RNA (2381 nucleotides) under Solanum tuberosum (potato). RNAcentral describes it as "long non-coding RNA (STUB_LNC006874)". The record is from RNAcentral. Lineage: Eukaryota; Viridiplantae; Streptophyta; Magnoliopsida; Solanales; Solanaceae.